GGUAUGAAUGGCUAAACGAGAAAUAAACUUUUUUUGUUAUAAAAAUUGAAUUUAAUUUUUUAGUGAAAAAGCUAAAAUUCUUCAGAAAGACGAGAAGACCCUAUAGAGUUUUAUACUAGGCAAGUAAUUUUUCUUAUUAGAUUUUUACAGAUUAAUUAUUUUUAAGUAUUUUGUUGGGGCGACAUUAAGAUAAAAAAAACUCUUUAUUUUUAAAAUUUUUAUAAAAAGUAAGCUUGAUCCUCUAUAAGAGAUCAAAAGAAAAAAUUACCUUAGGGAUAACAGCGUAAUCUUUUUUGAGAGUUCUAAUCGACAAAAAGGUUUGCGACCU
This 328-nucleotide ribosomal RNA is filed under the name Acasta sandwichi. RNAcentral's name for it is "partial large subunit ribosomal RNA". The stretch from base 58 to 328 matches the Rfam family "Bacterial large subunit ribosomal RNA", at positions 2048 to 2526 of the family's 2925-position model. Lineage: Eukaryota; Metazoa; Arthropoda; Thecostraca; Balanomorpha; Balanidae. The record is from RNAcentral.